Molecule: ribosomal RNA, 425 nt
Filed under: uncultured bacterium
Lineage: Bacteria
Description: partial 16S ribosomal RNA
Rfam family: Bacterial small subunit ribosomal RNA
Source: RNAcentral
GUGGGGAAUAUUGGACAAUGGGCGAAAGCCUGAUCCAGCAAUGCCGCGUGAGUGAUGAAGGCCUUAGGGUUGUAAAGCUCUUUUACCAGGGAUGAUAAUGACAGUACCUGGAGAAUAAGCUCCGGCUAACUCCGUGCCAGCAGCCGCGGUAAUACGGAGGGAGCUAGCGUUGUUCGGAAUUACUGGGCGUAAAGCGCGCGUAGGCGGCUCAGCAAGUCAGGGGUGAAAUCCCGGGGCUCAACCCCGGAACUGCCUUUGAAACUGCUAGGCUAGAAUCCUGGAGAGGCGAGUGGAAUUCCGAGUGUAGAGGUGAAAUUCGUAGAUAUUCGGAAGAACACCAGUGGCGAAGGCGACUGACUGGACAAGUAUUGACGCUGAGGUGCGAAAGCGUGGGGAGCAAACAGGAUUAGAUACCCCGGUAGUCC